This 373-nucleotide ribosomal RNA is filed under the name uncultured Cryomorphaceae bacterium. RNAcentral's name for it is "bacterial LSU rRNA". It matches the Rfam family "Bacterial large subunit ribosomal RNA", at positions 1 to 385 of the family's 2925-position model. Lineage: Bacteria; Pseudomonadati; Bacteroidota; Flavobacteriia; Flavobacteriales; Cryomorphaceae. The record is from RNAcentral.
AAGAAAGUAGAUAAGAGCGUUUGGCGAAUGCCUUGGCUCUCAGAGGCGAUGAAGGACGUGAUAAGCUGCGAUAUGCUUCGGUGAGGUGCAAAUAACCUUUGAUCCGGAGAUUUCCGAAUGGGGAAACCCAGUACCAUGAAGUGGUAUUAUCCUAACUUGUUAGGAAGCUAACCCAGGGAACUGAAACAUCUAAGUACCUGGAGGAAGAGAAAACAAUAGUGAUUCCCGUAGUAGCGGCGAGCGAAGUGGGAAUAGCCCAAAAUCAUACGGUUUCGGCCGUUUGGUGGUUGUAGGACUGCAAUGUGAAUAUAAAUUUGAAGUAGAAUUUUCUGGAAAGUUAAACCAUAGCGGGUGAUAGUCCCGUAUACGAAUC